Molecule: transfer RNA, 62 nt
Filed under: Lachancea thermotolerans
Lineage: Eukaryota; Fungi; Ascomycota; Saccharomycetes; Saccharomycetales; Saccharomycetaceae
Description: partial transfer RNA
Rfam family: tRNA
About the family: Transfer RNA (tRNA) molecules are approximately 80 nucleotides in length. Their secondary structure includes four short double-helical elements and three loops (D, anti-codon, and T loops).
Source: RNAcentral
GCUCGCGUGGCGUAAUGGCAACGCGUCUGACUUCUAAUCAGAAGAUUGUGGGUUCGACCCCC